AACGAACGCUGGCGGCAUGCCUAACACAUGCAAGUCGAACGAGACCUUCGGGUCUAGUGGCGCACGGGUGCGUAACGCGUGGGAACCUGCCCUUAGGUUCGGAAUAACUCCCCGAAAGGGGUGCUAAUACCGGAUAAUGUCUUCGGACCAAAGAUUUAUCGCCUUUGGAUGGGCCCGCGUUGGAUUAGCUAGUUGGUAGGGUAAAAGCCUACCAAGGCGACGAUCCAUAGCUGGUCUGAGAGGAUGAUCAGCCACACUGGGACUGAGACACGGCCCAGACUCCUACGGGAGGCAGCAGUGGGGAAUAUUGGACAAUGGGCGAAAACCUGAUCCAGCAAUGCCGCGUGAGUGAUGAAGGCCUUAGGGUUGUAAAGCUCUUUUACCCGGGAUGAUAAUGACAGUACCGGGAGAAUAAGCUCCGGCUAACUCCGUG
RNAcentral lists this ribosomal RNA (433 nucleotides) under uncultured bacterium. Its description in RNAcentral is "partial 16S ribosomal RNA". It matches the Rfam family "Bacterial small subunit ribosomal RNA", at positions 29 to 507 of the family's 1533-position model. The record is from RNAcentral.